UAACACUGACAUUUUACAUGUGUAUAAAUUGUAUUUAUUUGUUUUGAUGUGUUAUUUUCGUUUUUCGAUUGAAACAAAUUGUGCGCAAAUUAAAUGAAAAGAAAUGUAGAAGAAUAAAGCUUCAGUGAAAAAGCACAUUUCAUAUUCAGUGCUGACGUCAAGUUCAAUCCAGUUUAAAAAAAAAAAUAAUAAGAAGAAUAAGAAAGUGAAAGAAGUACAUUUUAAACUCAAUACUCCGAAAAAAAGCUGAAAAUGAAUUACGCUCGAUGACUCAUAGCCAAAAAUACGCUACAAAGUCGCUCGAAUAAUAUUGAAUUAGCAAUUAGCACUGAAUACCUCGAAUAUUCUCGUGAAUACAAGAAAAGUGUCAGCGAAAUGUUGCAUAAAAAGUAGUUGGCCAUACAUAUACGAAAUUUCCAGAUUUGCAUAACACAACAACAGCGAAAAGAAAAAAAAUAUUAUAUAAAAAUUGGAAUUUUAUUAAAAAUUUAUGCAGUGCACGUAGAAACGGCAAGAAAGCGGAAAAUGGCGCGCAAAACUAAAUUUAAGCACACAAAUACAAAAACCCUCGCAAAAGGCUGGCAAGGCAACAACAUCCUUAUUGGCAGCAAAAGUUUACAAAAAACACAAAGGUAAUCAUCAUUACAAGCAUUUUAACUGAUUUUGCUUUUGUUGUUUUUUGCUUUUGUUGUUGUGCACACAAGAAGUUAUUGGCCGCGUUGUGGCAAAAAACGUCAAAGGCAUGUCGCGCCGUCGCACAGUCGCUACGCAAAACAAAUGAAGCGAAGCCAAUUGAAAUAAUUUAAUUUAUUGAAUAGCACACAUUUGACGCUGGCAAAGAGGUAAGGUGCAUGGGUAUAUGGAUAUUUAUAAAUAUAUGCGCUUCAAGUAAUAUAUAUAACAACAACGGGCUAACAGCCGCCAUAUUGCAGCGACAUGCCACAAGCAAGCUCAGAGGCUUUUAAAUAUGUAUAUGUGUGAGUGAGUGUGUGCUUUUAAAUUGUUUGUCGCCGUCAUUUGCGCCAGCAACAACACAAAAGUGUCGUGCAGGUGACAGCUGAACAGCCGCAUAACGCUUGUAAGCUGCUUCCUUGCAUGUAUGUGGGUGUGUGUAUGUGUGUGUGGCAACACUAAAUAUAUUUUCACGACAUGGUCGAUUUGCAUGUGUUUGUGUGCAUGUCUGUGUGUGUCGCGUUCUUUUACGUUUGUGGCAUUUGUACGUGCAACUACUCAACAAUUUCCAGUCACGUUCGCGUACUUAUUGUUCCAGCAAUUUGUCUUCGUUCGCCACACACACACACACACACAUAUACCCUCUACAUCAACCAAACAACCAGCCAGGCUGCCGACAAUCAACCGCAAACCCCACUAAGUCCGUCGUCGCGUUUAAACAAAACAAUGCAAAAAGUAAGAGAAAAGCAAGAAGGAAAAGAAGCAGAAAACAAUCAGCCGUCAGUGGGAGGAGGUGAAAGAAAGGUGUUCGGAUUCUGACAAGCAGGCAGGCAGUAAAAACAAAAGCAUUUAAGUAAGUCUUUCGAAUGUGGCAGACGAAUGGCGAAUUGAAAGAGGCGCGCUCACGAAGCGACAAUAUAUGAAUCAGCGAUAGACAAUGCACGCGAGCGUGGAGGUCGUAGGUCAUGGCGCUGUGCUGCCAGCUAGCUUAUAUGGUAUGAGAAGAUUUUGUGUGACGCCGUUGCAAUUUCGCUAUGCGAUUUGCCUCCCACCACCAACCAACAACAACGCUUGUCAAUGUCACGGCAUGUUUUUCAGGUAUAUACCCAUACACGAUAACCGUGUAAUUCCGUUAGCGAAAGGCGGUCAAAACAUAAUGACCAUAAUAAUAUUAAACAAAUGCAAUGCAAACGUUUAUGAAAGGAAAGAAUGAAGCGCAAAUUGCUCGCUAACAAAGUUGUAAAAUGAAAAUGUUGAAAGAAUGUGGGUAAAAGUAAAAAUAAAAGAAAUUAAUAGGAAUAUUUUUGAAAGAAAUUUCAAGUGUUUUACAGAAUUAUUUUUUAAUGUCAAAUUUUGGACACUAUAAUCUUGCUUUCUAAAU
Long non-coding RNA from Zeugodacus cucurbitae (melon fly), 2053 nucleotides. RefSeq lists it as uncharacterized. The record is from RefSeq and is a predicted model, not a curated record. The transcript has 3 exons. NCBI's taxonomy places the organism in Eukaryota, Metazoa, Arthropoda, Insecta, Diptera, Tephritidae.